Molecule: long non-coding RNA, 198 nt
Organism: Octopus sinensis (East Asian common octopus)
Lineage: Eukaryota; Metazoa; Mollusca; Cephalopoda; Octopoda; Octopodidae
Exons: 2
Source: RefSeq, a predicted model, not a curated record
CCACAAGAUCAUUUUUACAAAUGUCAAGCAAUUACCGAUACAGUUCUUACUAUAGUUAACCAUCACGAAGCAUAAGUAUUACUUGUUAGUCAUAUUGUGACUCACAAAGGAAUAAUUUGCCUAUAGGUACUCUACAACAGCAGUAGAUAGGUUUGGAUUUAUGGUCAGUAGUUUAGCAAUAUAAUUUUGUGAUCAGUG